ACGUUAGCGGCGGACGGGUGAGUAACACGUGGGUAACCUACCUAUAAGACUGGGAUAACUUCGGGAAACCGGAGCUAAUACCGGAUAAUAUUUCGAACCGCAUGGUUCGAUAGUGAAAGGUGGCUUUGCUAUCACUUAUAGAUGGACCCGCGCCGUAUUAGCUAGUUGGUAAGGUAACGGCUUACCAAGGCGACGAUACGUAGCCGACCUGAGAGGGUGAUCGGCCACACUGGAACUGAGACACGGUCCAGACUCCUACGGGAGGCAGCAGGA
Molecule: ribosomal RNA, 273 nt
Filed under: uncultured Staphylococcus sp.
Lineage: Bacteria; Bacillati; Bacillota; Bacilli; Caryophanales; Staphylococcaceae
Description: partial 16S ribosomal RNA
Rfam family: Bacterial small subunit ribosomal RNA
Source: RNAcentral